CGCCGCUCCCGGUGCCCCGGCCCGGCCCGGCCCGGCCCGGCUGCCGGCGCCGCUCCUCCCCCGGCCCCGCCCCGGCGGCUUGUAAACACGGCAGUGGCUUCCGCCACGGCGCCGCGACGCCUCGCGAGAGACCGGGUCUCGCGAGACAGGGACGCUCCGGGCCCGCCCCCGCCCCAGGCGACUGUCAAGUACAGGCCUCGCGCUUGGCUCGAGCGCGGUUGUUUUCCAGCUCCCGUGCGCGCGUUCGCGCGCGGGGCGGCGGCCGCCCCUGGGACUCGGUGUGAGGGGAGCGCUGCUGUCCCUGUGGCGGUCCGGUGAAAGUGGGGUCCGGCCCGUUCCUUCAGCCCUAAGCAGGCGUCUGGUUCAGUUCUCUGUGUGACAGGGAGAGGCGGCAGUGCAGUGCGCUGUGUCUCAUCGUUCACUGAGUUGUGUCUGUGAUUGCAUUAUGUGAAAGCAUGACAGUGACAGGGGUACCAACACUGCCACGCGAACAGGUAUGUGCUGACAGGCUGGUGGCAUUCAUCAUCCAAAUAAGAUCCCUUGAGAGAAAUGACGCGUUGAGCUAAGCACACUGCUGAACAGCCGAUGAGCUGGACAGCUAAUUGCUGGUGGUCGUCCUUAUCUGUACAAUCUUUUACAAAGGCAAUAGAAGAAAACUGUCAUGAAGGGAUUGAGUAUAACUUCCAUUGGUGGAGCUAAGGAUGACCAGAGUUUGCAGAGGCACUGUAACAGACUGAAAGAGCACUGAGGGGAAGAAAAUGGGAGAGAAAAGAGAAAGUAGGAGGAAAGGCGAGACACCUUGAAAACAAGAAGUAAAAAUCUAAUUAACAGCAAGCAAAAGCCCAGGAUUCCCUUUGUUCCCUUUGCAGAUGCGAUCCUCAGACAUUGCAGGCGUCUGUGGUCUCUCUGAGGGAGCCUACGUUCCUGGUGUGCUGCAGCUCUCGGACAUCCCUGCACUAUGGGGACUGGCUCUGCAACACAGCAAUGCUGGGGGGAGUUUUCCUUCACCUCAUGUGGUUAGACAACAUUGUCUCUUCAGGCACAGUACUUCUGUAAGGUUGUAUUCCGUUCUUCUGCUCCCCUGCCUCAACCCCCUUCCCAAAUCGGGAUCAGGCAAUGGCACAACCAUAGUAGCCACAAAAUUGUAAGUUUCAUGCUUGGGAGGGAUGUCUUUAUUACAACCAAAUCCUUUGCCAGUUUAUUUCAGCUGUAAUAAAAUUUUAGCUUGCUUUCUUUGGGAGACA
RNAcentral lists this long non-coding RNA (1244 nucleotides) under Numida meleagris (helmeted guineafowl). Its description in RNAcentral is "lncRNA (ENSNMEG00000014979.1)". Lineage: Eukaryota; Metazoa; Chordata; Aves; Galliformes; Numididae. The record is from RNAcentral.